AACGAACGCUGGCGGCAGGCUUAACACAUGCAAGUCGAGCGAGACCUUCGGGUCUAGCGGCGGACGGGGGGGUAACGCGUGGGAACGUGCCCUUCUCUACGGAAUAGCCCCGGGAAACUGGGAGUAAUACCGUAUACGCCCUUAGGGGGAAAGAUUUGUCGGAGAAGGAUCGGCCCGCGUUGGAUUAGGUGGUUGGGGGGGUAAUGGCCCACCAAGCCGACGAUGCAUAGCUGGUUGGAGAGGAUGCCCAGCCACACUGGGACUGAGACACGGCCCAGACUCCUACGGGAGGCAGCAGUGGGGAAUCUUAGACAAUGGGGGCAACCCUGAUCUAGCCAUGCCGCGUGAGUGAUGAAGGCCUUAGGGUUGUAAAGCUCUUUCAGCUGGGAAGAUAAUGACGGUACCAGCAGAAGAAGCCCCGGCUAACUCCGUG
Molecule: ribosomal RNA, 433 nt
Filed under: uncultured bacterium
Lineage: Bacteria
Description: partial 16S ribosomal RNA
Rfam family: Bacterial small subunit ribosomal RNA
Source: RNAcentral